Molecule: transfer RNA, 74 nt
Filed under: Pectobacterium phage DU_PP_V
Lineage: Duplodnaviria; Heunggongvirae; Uroviricota; Caudoviricetes; Demerecviridae
Description: tRNA-Ile
Rfam family: tRNA
About the family: Transfer RNA (tRNA) molecules are approximately 80 nucleotides in length. Their secondary structure includes four short double-helical elements and three loops (D, anti-codon, and T loops).
Source: RNAcentral
GCCAAGUUAGUUCAAAGGUAGAACAGUGGGCUGAUAACCUACAAACGGGGGAUCGUUACCCUCACUUGGUACCA